This 1441-nucleotide ribosomal RNA is filed under the name cyanobacterium EH-1. RNAcentral's name for it is "bacterial SSU rRNA". It matches the Rfam family "Bacterial small subunit ribosomal RNA". The record is from RNAcentral. Lineage: Bacteria; Bacillati; Cyanobacteriota.
AGAGUUUGAUCCUGGCUCAGGAUGAACGCUGGCGGCGUGCUUAACACAUGCAAGUCGAACGAACCUUCGGGUUAGUGGCGGACGGGUGAGUAACGCGUGAGAAUCUGCCCUCAGGAGGGGGAUAACGGCUGGAAACGGCCGCUAAUACCCCAUAUGCCGAGAGGUGAAAUGAGUUUUCGCCUGAGGAUGAGCUCGCGUCUGAUUAGCUAGUUGGUGGGGUAAGAGCCUACCAAGGCAUCGAUCAGUAGCUGGUCUGAGAGGAUGAUCAGCCACACUGGGACUGAGACACGGCCCAGACUCCUACGGGAGGCAGCAGUGGGGAAUUUUCCGCAAUGGGCGAAAGCCUGACGGAGCAACGCCGCGUGAGGGAUGAAGGCCUCUGGGCUGUAAACCUCUUUUAUCAAGGAAGAAGAUCUGACGGUACUUGAUGAAUAAGCCACGGCUAAUUCCGUGCCAGCAGCCGCGGUAAUACGGGAGUGGCAAGCGUUAUCCGGAAUUAUUGGGCGUAAAGCGUCCGCAGGCGGCCUUUUAAGUCUGUUGUCAAAGCGUGGAGCUUAACUCCAUUUCGGCAAUGGAAACUGGGAGGCUUGAGUGUGGUAGGGGCAGAGGGAAUUCCCGGUGUAGCGGUGAAAUGCGUAGAUAUCGGGAAGAACACCAGUGGCGAAGGCGCUCUGCCGGGCCAUAACUGACGCUCAUGGACGAAAGCCAGGGGAGCGAAAGGGAUUAGAUACCCCUGUAGUCCUGGCCGUAAACGAUGAACACUAGGUGUCGGGGGAAUCGACCCCCUCGGUGUCGUAGCCAACGCGUUAAGUGUUCCGCCUGGGGAGUACGCACGCAAGUGUGAAACUCAAAGGAAUUGACGGGGGCCCGCACAAGCGGUGGAGUAUGUGGUUUAAUUCGAUGCAACGCGAAGAACCCUACCAGGGUUUGACAUCCUGCGAAUCCCUUGGAAACUUGGGAGUGCCUUCGGGAGCGCAGAGACAGGUGGUGCAUGGCUGUCGUCAGCUCGUGUCGUGAGAUGUUGGGUUAAGUCCCGCAACGAGCGCAACCCACGUCUUUAGUUGCCAGCAUUCAGUUGGGCACUCUAGAGAGACCGCCGGUGAUAAACCGGAGGAAGGUGUGGAUGACGUCAAGUCAUCAUGCCCCUUACAUCCUGGGCUACACACGUACUACAAUGCUACGGACAAAGGGCAGCAAACUCGCGAGAGCUAGCAAAUCCCAUAAACCGUGGCUCAGUUCAGAUCGUAGGCUGCAACUCGCCUACGUGAAGGAGGAAUCGCUAGUAAUCGCAGGUCAGCAUACUGCGGUGAAUACGUUCCCGGGCCUUGUACACACCGCCCGUCACACCAUGGAAGUUGGCCACGCCCGAAGCCGUUACUCCAACCCUUGUGGAGGAGGACGUCGAAGGUGGGGCUGAUGACUGGGGUGAAGUCGUAACAAG